Molecule: ribosomal RNA, 355 nt
Filed under: uncultured bacterium
Lineage: Bacteria
Description: bacterial SSU rRNA
Rfam family: Bacterial small subunit ribosomal RNA
Source: RNAcentral
GGAGGGUGCAAGCGUUAAUCGGAAUUACUGGGCGUAAAGCGUGCGCAGGCGGUUCUGUAAGACAGAUGUGAAAUCCCCGGGCUCAACCUGGGAAUUGCAUUUGUGACUGCAGGACUAGAGUUCAUCAGAGGGGGGUGGAAUUCCAAGUGUAGCAGUGAAAUGCGUAGAUAUUUGGAAGAACACCAAUGGCGAAGGCAGCCCCCUGGGAUGCGACUGACGCUCAUGCACGAAAGCGUGGGGAGCAAACAGGAUUAGAUACCCUGGUAGUCCACGCCGUAAACGAUGUCGACUUGGAGGUUGUGCCCUUGAGGCGUGGCUUCCGGAGCUAACGCGUUAAGUCGACCGCCUGGGGAGU